RNAcentral lists this ribosomal RNA (468 nucleotides) under uncultured bacterium. RNAcentral's name for it is "bacterial SSU rRNA". It matches the Rfam family "Bacterial small subunit ribosomal RNA", at positions 328 to 792 of the family's 1533-position model. The record is from RNAcentral.
GCCCCAGACUCCUACGGGAGGCAGCAGUGAGGAAUAUUGGUCAAUGGGCGCGAGCCUGAACCAGCCAAGUCGCGUGAGGGAGGACGGCCCUACGGGUUGUAAACCUCUUUUGCCGGGGAGCAACGGGCGUCACGUGUGGCGCCACUGAGAGUACCCGGAGAAAAAGCAUCGGCUAACUCCGUGCCAGCAGCCGCGGUAAUACGGAGGAUGCGAGCGUUAUCCGGAUUUAUUGGGUUUAAAGGGUGCGCAGGCGGGAGAUCAAGUCAGCGGUAAAAUGUCGGGGCUCAACCCCGGCCGGCCGUUGAAACUGGUUUUCUAGAGUUGGAGAGAAGUAUGCGGAAUUCGUGGUGUAGCGGUGAAAUGCAUAGAUAUCACGAAGAACUCCGAUUGCGAAGGCAGCAUACCGGCUCCAUACUGACGCUGAGGCACGAAAGCGUGGGGAUCGAACAGGAUUAGAUACCCUGCGUA